CUCUCGCUCGGCUCGCGCACAUGUGCUCCCGCUGCUCCCGACGACGCGGCUCGACCUGGCGAGAGCGGCGGAGCCUGUGUCGGGCGGUGCGCGCAAAGGGUGACGAGGCGUGCCACCUCCUCCGUGCGCCCGCUUUGGGCACAAUCGGCCGCCGACCGACGAACUUCGCGUCGCUCCCGCAGCUCUCGCGCCUGACAGCGUGGAUACGCGAACUGGCGUCGGUGUCGUACAAGUUGGAAUAGGGCUACUGCUUUUGGCGAGAUAAUUUACUUUGCGACAUUCUGCGGGGCUUUGUGCGAAGUGUGAGCCCAAGAAAAGGAGAUUAGUAACUUGUUUGGCGAACAGCAUUUUUUGAGACCCGAAUGACAUUAUGAUAUCUGUGACUCCUUACAGGCGCUGACUGUUUCAUUCGAGUUGCCACGUUGUCUCAUUGGUGAACAACUGGAGUGGCCUGUCUGCUUUUGAGCGUCUCUUGCAAAGAAUUGCCGUUAGUAGAUCGUUUGCCUCCGGCCUACUGAGCUUUCCACCAGCUGUGACUGCCGGGAAGCACUGGACGUAUUAUCUCGGCUAUUUUGCGAGGCUGUGUUGUGGUUCAAGAAACUUAGAUAGAUAAUCGCACACUGUGUGCCGUCUACAAACCCAGGCUUCUUUUAGGUGAAUCUUAGAAUCUAAAGGACGCAUCUGUUCACUCGCCGAUUGAAUUCUGGCUUUGAAUUUGGGCAUCCCACGACGGUACCGAAGCCCACCUGUUGGAUUCAUCGCAGUCAUCAAGGUACGCUGGAGUGUGCCGUAGAUUGCAUCCGGUAUUCCGCCCGGAAUUUCUCCUCCUCUCUGCGAAGGCGUUCAGACGGAAAUAGUGGCUCGCCGAUUGACACAGCUCCAUACCAUUAUGGGACGUAUAACAGACUGACAGUAGAACUUCAUCGAAAACCAAG
Molecule: long non-coding RNA, 935 nt
Organism: Dermacentor andersoni
Lineage: Eukaryota; Metazoa; Arthropoda; Arachnida; Ixodida; Ixodidae
Source: RefSeq, a predicted model, not a curated record